ACUGCAGCACUCACCGAAGUGUGCUUCCUGCAGAGCCAAAUGAGGGCAAGGACAUUGUCAGAGCAGCAGGCAGAAAAGCAUGGCAACCCUUCCUGGAAGGAUUCUGGCUGGUGUGGGGCUGACUGAAGAAGAAGAGGAGUCACCUGAACUGGGAGUGGCCAGAAGGCUCCUGGCCCCUUUACAAAUACAGGAGAGCUGGGAGAGCUGACAGAGACUGAGUGUGUCUGAUCACUUCUAUUACCAGAAACACGACCUGUCGUUUUUUGCUGGGAUUACAAAGGGGAAGUUUGGAAAAGUUCAGGUGACAGGGAAAAUUUGAGUUAUGCCCAUGUGGGUGCGACUGAAAUCAGAGGGUUUUGCAUCCUACAAGGCCUGAAGUGAUCAGCAAUUUCUUUGUCAGAAAAUCUGCUGCUUCCAUUAACAGUUGUGGUUACAGUGUAACUCCAGCUACCAGACUGUUGUGUUUGAAAUGAAUUGUCAUUGCUGCAUUUCUGAAAACAGCUCUUGAGACUGAUGGGAGUGGUGCAAGCUUGCAGGAUCACGUGGGUACACAGUCAGCAUGUGCCAGCAGGUGAUGUAAAGAUGAAUGACUCCUUGAAUUUCAUGUGACAAGGAAUGUAAAUCAGUGUUUGGCAUUUGAUCUGGAGAAGAAACGGAGAUGAUUUCAUUUAAAGCAGAAAUAAAAGACACUUUUCCUUUCAAACUGAUUAAUUAAACAAAGAAAAGGCAAAGCUGUGCAUGGACAUCAAGCACAAAAAAAGAAGGUGGUAUUCUCUGUUGCCUUCCUCCCUUCUCCAAAGGUAAAAAUUAAUCUAAUUUCUUGAUCCAUGAGAGCUGGUCCUCGUUGCCAUUAUGUGAUGUCUGCUAUACAAGGAAUCUGCAGCGCUGCAAGGGAAGUUAUGGCCCAAUGCACUAGUGCCCCACACUUCUAUACCAACAUUUAUCUAUUUUAUGUUUUUAUAGUUUUCCAGUUCCCAGACAGACUGAAGUACACUUGAAUCAAAUAUCCAGCUAAACUUUCCUGAUAUGUAAGAUAUUUAAAGGGUAGAUACCAUAUGUCUUACAGUUAACGUCUGCUUGCAGAUGUAGGUUAUAUGUUUGUGCAUGGAAAAACAGGGCUUUCCACUCAACUAAUAGAUUUCUUAAUAAGACUACUGAUGGCAUAAUCUAUCUUUAAUAGUCCAAUGGCUAUGAAUUCUUCUUAGGCCUAAUCCUGAAUUUAUAGGAUUUUUAUAAGUGAAUGUCAGAACAGGAAGAAAUGUUCUGUAGAUUCAGGGAAGCAGUACAGCCACUCACUGUGGCUGCUACUGUGUUAGGCUGUCUGCAGUUACAGCCAGGUCCCUGUAGAAGAGGGUCUCUAUUUCUAUUUGAUUAUUAAAAACAGUGGUCCAGAUGCAACAUCUGGCUCAGGAAAUCCUUAAACUCCUGAUUGUCGAAAAUGCAGAGGAUAUUAAGAGAGGGAGGGGGAUGUGUGGAGAGGGAAUCACUUUGCAUGCACCCUCUUCUUAUAUUCUUUUCCUAAGCAUCUGCCUUUGUCUGCUGUCAAAGGCAGGAUAUUGGGCUGGAUGGACCUUUCAUCUACCCCGGGAUGGCAGUGUUCUGUGUCUGGGAGGUGGAGUGGGCUGUGAAACCCCAUUAUCCAGGAUCUGAUGAUCCCAAAUGUGACUUUUCCCUCCUGACUAAACCUUUAUGGCUGUAGUGCUUCAUCUGCUUUCCCCAAAUCCUGCUCACAGCAUAGAGUGCAGCAUAGGGGGAGGGAAAGAGGUGGCCCCCUCCUUAAGGGCUGUGUAUUUUUAUGUAUUUAUUUUGGCUUGGAUGGAGAUUUUUUUUUUUCUUUUCCCCUCUGAAUAGGGAAUUCAGAAAAGUGACAUCAUUUUUAAUCCCUGACAGUUUAUGGGCUUUGAAAAAGAUUCUGGAUAAUACUGAGCAAUUAAGAUGCCAUUUUAAUAGUUCUUUCAAGUGAAAUCAAGUGAGUAAUUAAAUAAAAUUGAAUGAGGACCAUGUCAGGCCACCCACAAGCUCUCAUAUCCGCUACAAGCAGAUGAAUAAGUUAGAGUGUGGGAUAAAUGCUGUGUCUAAGUGGUCCUAUUUAUGUGUUAUUGGAUGACUCUAGGAAUGAAGCUUUCAGCUGGAAGAUUUGUUUCCUUUGAACAAUGUUUUCAAGCAAGAACAUGCAAGAUUGUCAAUUGCUAUUCAAACAGCAGUAACUUUCCCAUCUUUUUAAAUUUUUUGUGGUAGUGCUAAUGCCAUUGUUUUGUAUAGAUGGUCUGCUGUAAAAGUCACAGAACAUAAACAGGAUUUUUUUGCAUUAAAUGCUGGAUUAGAAUUUCUGCUUCCUAGUUAUUAUGAUAUAUUCCUAGUAUGAUGAUAUAUGAAUGCAUUUUGAAAGUUGCUUUAGUCUGCAAGCGUGGGGUAUGGCAUUACACGUGGUUUGUAUUCAUUCUACACAGAUAAAAAAAGCAAAGUGCAGACAAAGGGAAAACAAGUAAUUUUGAGAUAUACAGUCCAAUAACUAAGUAGGUAAUGGAAAAUGGUAUCUCUCAGUUGUAGAUCAGUUAAUUUUCUUAGGGUGAAAAAAACUUUUUAGGCAUUUCCAAUGUUAAAUUUUGUGCAAGGAUUUCUCACUAUAAUUAGAAGUAUAUAUAAUUAGAUUAUUUCCAAAGUCUGUUCUUUGUACUUUAAGUGGGAUUCCUAACCCUGUCUUAGAUCUAUGCAAAAUAUUGAUAAAAUAUUGAUGUUUUAAAAAUGUCCCAUUUGAAGUUAAGACAGAGAUAUUAAUACCAUGACACAGGAUAAGAGCCUUGAAAACUUGCCUUGCAUCUACAGCAUUAUUUUUACUGAAAUGCACACGGGGGAGGCAGCGGUUAAAAGCAAGAGCCAAAAUAAUCUCCUUGUAUUUCACAUUUAGAUUCACAGAAAAAUUGAUAUUAUUCCUCAAGAAUUUCCUCUGUAGGAUACCAUCUGAGCACAGCUGAUGGAGUGGGUACCAGACACGCUCCCGGUUCACCCCACACAAACUUGUUUUCCCCUUCAUCUCAGGGAAUGAAUGGAUCACUGCUCCAUCCCUGUGGCUGCUACCCUGGCGCAAAUACAUGCCUGCUGUUUUCUUUCUCUCCUAAAACAUGCUUUUCUGGUUUUACUUUAAAUUUGGGACAAUACAAGCCCCCUCUGGUGGUCAAAAUAUCUUCUGUAGAUUUCUGCAGUAUUUCACUCUAAAGAUGUUUUGCUGAGGGGCCAAAAUGUCUGCUUUACAUUUUAAAGUAAUACGACCAUAGCUAGUUCGUUUUUCUAAGAAAACCACUGGAACGAGCCAAAACUGGAGGAGAAAAAUGCGUAGGAGAGGUGUUCCAGUGUGUGUCAGGUCCCAGGAAUGUGGUCAGUGACACUGACGGGUGCACACAGAGAGGAGCUGCAAAAUUCAUUGCGCCAACUCUCGCUGCCCAGCUGGCGCGGAAAAGUAGGGAUGCUGCUGGAAUGCCAGGGCUGGGUCUGCUGCCGGAGGCAGGACAGCGCCUUAGGGAGAAAUGGGAAACAAAAUGUCACUGCCGAGGAAAAGAUACCCGUUAAAUUUCACAGGCUGCCCUUUCUCUGAACACUGGAAACCACAGGCAUACUGGAUGUGGCGUGCUGAGGUACAGAAAGCAAGCGUGGGUUGAUUUAGUGCUUUCAAUGCCUCUUCUUAAUUUGGUAGAGUUGUGCUAAAAAUACCCAAACAUUUGGACUUACAAGAGGGUUAUGAUAUGCAAAAUUUAAAUUUAGAGGAAGACUUUUCUAAUCACUUUUCCUUUUCCUGUAACACAUUUCCAUGUGGAAAAGUGGUAUUUCCCUUCGCUGUUGUGUUGGUGUUGUCCUCUGUGGCAAGGUAUUUCAGCAGCAUCUGAUUUCCUAGAGGUUGAGACAGUUUCUGAAACUGCGGGGGAAAUCAAACAGUGUUUGAAAUCACUGUCUUUAAUCUUUAAAAGCAACUAUCAUCUGUGUCAUCAGGAAGAUAAUCCCAAUGGCUAUCCAAAAUCAGUCUCAACAGACACUAGACAGGGCUUCUCCUUCCCUUCUGAAUCUGGCUGAUUCUCACACAUUGCACAAGCUUCCACUGGCAUUUCCUAGCCUGUUCCCUAAGCCCGGGACUUGACUUUCUGUCUGCUGCCUCCCAGCAGCCACACAUACCAUCUGCCACUCAAAGGAUAAAAGAGUCCUGUCAACACAACAGCUGACCAAGAAAAGGAGUAAUUCACCAAUGUGUUUAUUCGCUGAAGAGCACUCGAUCAAUUCUAUCAUUGGUGACAAAGAGGAUUUAAUAGGAACAUACAAUAAUUCUGUUGUUGUUUUAAAACCCCACUAGCCACAAUAAUGGCUGCUGAAGCACUUAUCAUUGUCAUGUGAUUCCUAUUAGCCUAUUCUCAAGGAAACCAAGGAAGAGGGAUUGUGCUGUUUCACAAAAAUACAUUUAAUUGCUGUUGAAGAGUUUGUAAUUGAAAGUGUUGGCUUCCCAGAAUCCCCUGCUUUUCUUCAUCUCCUAGUAGCUCCUCUGCAUACCUCUGGACUGCAAAAACAUCACUCUGUGCCUUAAAUCCACUGUGACUCUUUAAAACUGCUAGCAGGGGUCAUCCUGGCCAAAGGCUUCUGGUUGUGGCUUUUUUCUGCAGUAAGUCUGAAGGCCCAGCACAAUUUGCUGGUAGGUUUGUACUGUCAGUAGCUGUGUGCUGCCAUCAGGAAAGAGACAAGCCGCCAGAGUAGCUGGACUGCUUGGAGUUUAGGGUAUGGGGGUUUUAUUCCAGUUUAAUUAAUUUCUAUGUCAUAAAUAGAUAUUUCCAAAGUAGAAAGUUAGAAAUGGGCAUGAAAAUUUUUAUUUGUUCUUUCCAAUGUAGGAUUAAGAAAAGAAUAUUUUUAAUGAGAUUUCUCACUGUUAUACAGCUACAGCCAUUUACCAUGUGAAUAAACUAUACUUGUUCACAGGGUUGUGAAAAGGAUAAUGGCUUUAAGAAAGACAAUUAAAAUGAGGUUAUGGCCACUUUGAACUUUUUUUCAAAAUUUCAAAUGCUAUAUUACAUUCAAAUAUAGGUUUUUUCACCUUAAGAAAUUAAGAUAUUAUUCAUAUUCAACCUUCAGAGUCCUCCUCCUUUAGUGAAUUGAAACAGUUGUUCUCAAAGUCUUAUUUAUGUAUCAGACUCUGAAGCCAGUCCUUAACCUCCUUUUGAUGAGCUAUAUAGUUUUAAUUAAUGGACUUUCUCAUAGAUGAUGUUUAUUUUCCAGGUAACUGAGUAGCAAUGCUCCAGCUGCAUGAAAUGGAAGUGUUAAGGUGCAACUCCUGCCAAGACUUGUGGCAUGGUUAUGGAAAAGCCGAGUGACCAACCCACCUUCUAUCAUGGCCAUGUUUCACCUUCCAUGCAGUUUAUGCAACCAGAAUAUUGGUGUAACUCCUUUUGGACUACUACUGAAGGUCAGGAGAAUAUCAUUCAUCUUCCACAAUGCCUGGACAUCAGCAGCUACGCUUCUGGAAAUAUCCUGGAAAAUGAAACUUUGAGAACAUUCCAAGCAGUUCAGAGGGAUUAUUAUAUUUGACAAGAUUCUCUUAACAAUACACAAACCUUUGUGCACAUACCACCAUAAUACCCAAUAAAAAUCAAAGGCCCCCCCCUUGGGACUGCUCUGCUUGCUGUGCACAGUAUUUCAGAUGGGCUGGCAAUAUGAGGAUUCAGCACUACAGUGAAAACCAGCUCAUGGUUUCUCACCCAUUAUUUUCAGUUUAAGCAUUCUUUGUUACUUUGAAUUUUAUUUUCUUACUUCUGAAGAAAGGUUUCUCAUGUACCCUCCUAACAUAACACCUAGCCCUGGGAGAUGCUAAUCACUGUACUGUACGUCCCUCUUUGGAUAAAAUUGGUUAUUCUCUUAGUUGCUGUUUCUGGUUUAGUAAGUCACAAAAGUAUAAACAUUUUCUUAUUUUUAUUCCUUGCUGAAAUUAUGUUGUGGAAACAAUGGUUGUAUGUAAUUGUUAAGACAGUUGUUAAGACUGUGCAAGACUCAUUGAUUACAAGAUCAGACAGUACGCUCAUUAGGUUUAGAGCAUUAGCUUUUCUCCAGUAUAAAAACAUUUAUUCAAAUUAGAAGUGGACUUUAACAGGCAGUGCUAGCCCUUGAAACCAGGUUCUGUGUCCUCCACCACACUGCUGCUGGUUUGUGUCUAAGCCGUGUAUGCUGGAGUGCUGCGAGGAAUGACGACAUGCCAAUGGCAUAAUUUCCUGAUGGAGACACGAUCAGGUGGUGUAAGAAAAGAAGAGCAUCUCCCUGACUGAAAAGCAUUAAGAAGAUUAGUGGCUGCUUUAGAAAUAAUCAAUGUAAGAAGGUAAGCAUGUUGUUUUGAUUAGAGAGCCAGACCUAGGAAAAAGAUCAAGAAGAGUAAGAGAGUGAAGAAAACUGCAGAAGGAAAGGAGAAGAAAUUUUGGGUUGUUACUGCAGAGGGCUUUUAUUCUCAUUAGUAUUAAGGGUUAGUAUUGUUUUCAGCAGUGAAGGGUAAUUUAGAUUAUGCUGAUCUUAUAUCACUGAGACAAGGAGCUGGACAGAUUCUGCAGAAGAGAAGUGUGUGACUCAUGGAAAGAGUAACUAGUGAAGAACUUGCUCAACUUGAACUCUUGCUUACAGGGAUUUUAUUUACCCCUGGGGGAGGGUGAAGUUUUCCAGCUUGGAAUAGCGCUAAACUACUUUACCAGUGAGAGAGAACUUGAAUCUCAUUUGGUGAAAAGAUAAGCUUUCAUGAUACAGGCUAACAUGUACUGAAGACUAUUGCACAGCCAGAGAGGAAGAAGAUGCUUUAAAGCAUGGGGGUUUUUAGCUGUGAAAACUAGCUAAUGAAAUAUCCAACACAUGUGAUGGUCACAUGAACUCUUUUUCAUUCAAUACACAAACCAAACAAUCAAACAUGUACUUAUAGAGGCACACUUAACAAAAAAAGGAGGAAUUCUCCCUGCUUUGAGAAUCCCUAGGAACUCUUUCAGCAUAAUGACACCCAUAUUCUCCUUCACAAAAUGCUCCUCAGAGAAUUCACUCAAAACUAUUCUAUGAUUUUUAUUUGUAGUGUGAAUAAUAAGCUAUCUGUCUGGUGACAUCAUUAUGGGCACUUAAAAAAAAUUAGCUGUGGAUAUAUUUGGAAAGGGUUAUAUUCAAGAAAAUUACUUGCUAAAGGGGUUUGUUUCAUUUAAAUACAGAUUCAGCCUCAGCUUAUCUGUACAAACAAGUUUUAAAAGAAAGGAGAAAACCCCCCACUUCCUUGAUGUGCUGAUCAGAGCUCUUAAUAGCAACCUAAAACAUGGAUAAGUUAAGAAAACUCCCCAGUUUUCUCCAGAAUGGGGCAGAACUUAAUCUUCAGGCACAGCCUGUCUGAAAAGUUGGAGAUAACAGAGACAAGAUGAGAUUUGGAUGCAGAGUCAGAACACUUUAAAUAGGUGAGUUAUAAAUAUGGAUCCUCUUUUUUAUUUUUCUUUACAAACCCUACAUCAAAUUGUGGGGAAAUAUUUAAACUGCUUUUGUUAAUAUUUUGUUCAGCAUAACUAUUUGUAAAAAGGCUUUCUUCUACCUAAUGGUAUUGUCAAGUAACUGAGAUCCUCUUUGCAAUAUAAACGAGUCCUAAAUUCUUUCAGAGGGAAACAGCCCACCUCAUUUUAAGAUUAAGAAAGCCUAAGAAAAGGUAGCAGGUGUGAAAAUUCAAUUUAUUAGCCCUAUCUUUGAGAAGAGCUAAAUCAAUUAGUAUAAAUCUAGUCUUUGAAAGAUACAUGAUAAUAGAUGACAAGAGAAGACUGAAGAACUGUACCAUUUUGGCUUGGAAAAGCUGCUUUAAAUGCUGAAACCCUGAAGAUGAAAAUGUCAGUACUUGAUUAGUUGAACUGUAAAGAAUCACAAGAGAUUCCUACAGACCCUGAAAAUGUUAUGUAUUGUAUCUUUCACAAAACUGGCAAACACUCAAACCCCUGGUGUUUUUGCCAGUCAGUGCUAAGGACUUGCUAAGAAGGCAUAUGGUCUUCGUUCAGGUUUUCUUGACUGGAGAAGCUUUCUCUCAAUUUCAGCUGUUGGCAGUCAUAAUUUCUGAUUUUCAUAAUUGCAGUUGCCUUUAAAUCAACUCUGGAAAUCAUCAAACUUAUAGUCCUGGAGCAGAAUCCUGAUCCUUGUCAGCCAUGGCUACAAGCCCACAGAAAAUGAGGAGCAACACAGGUUAGUUCAGCUUUGAAGGAGUAAAGGUACUACUUGAUUUUAGGUCAGAGAUGGACAAUAAAGUGUGCCUUGAACAGGAACAGAUGAGAAGCUUCUAUGCAGAGGUAGAUCAUUCCUUUUGUCUUCAGAUUGCUUUUUUUCAGUUCAAGAUUUUACAUACACUGAUAGGUCAAAACUGUGGUUCUUGAAAAUGCUACACUUGUUUAGGAAGAAAAGGAUAGGAAUCUUCUUCCUUUUCUUUUUUC
Cyanistes caeruleus (blue tit) is the source of this 8444-nucleotide non-coding RNA. Lineage: Eukaryota; Metazoa; Chordata; Aves; Passeriformes; Paridae. The record is from RefSeq and is a predicted model, not a curated record.